Molecule: ribosomal RNA, 562 nt
Filed under: uncultured bacterium
Lineage: Bacteria
Description: bacterial SSU rRNA
Rfam family: Bacterial small subunit ribosomal RNA
Source: RNAcentral
CCUACGGGAGGCAGCAGUAGGGAAUUUUCCACAAUGGGCGAAAGCCUGAUGGAGCAAUACCGCGUGCAGGAUGAAGGCCUUCGGGUCGUAAACUGCUUUUAUGUGCGAAGAAUUUGACGGUAACACAUGAAUAAGGAUCGGCUAACUACGUGCCAGCAGCCGCGGUCAUACGUAGGAUCCAAGCGUUAUCCGGAAUUACUGGGCGUAAAGAGUUGCGUAGGUGGCAUUAUAAGUGGAGCGUGAAAGCGUGCGGCUCAACCGCAUUAUUGCGUUCCAAACUGUGAAGCUUGAGUAUGGGAGAGGUAGAUGGAAUUUCUAGUGUAGGAGUGAAAUCCGUAGAUAUUAGAAGGAACACCGAUGGCGUAGGCAGUCUACUGGCCCAUUACUGACACUAAGGCACGAAAGCGUGGGGAGCAAACGGGAUUAGAUACCCCGGUAGUCCACGCUGUAAACUAUGGAUGCUAGCUGUGACACACAUCGACCUGUGUCGUAGCGAAGUUAACGCGUUAAGCAUCCCGCCUGGGGAGUACGGUCGCAAGAUUAAAACUCAAAGGAAUUGAGG